UGCCAGCCGCCGCGGUAAUACGGAGGGGGUUAGCGUUGUUUGGAAUUACUGGGCGUAAAGAGCGUGUAGGCUGUUAGGUAAGUCAGAGGUGAAAUCCCUAAGCUCAACUUAGGAACUGCCUUUGAUACUAUCUUACUAGAGAUCGAGAGAAGUUAGCGGAAUUCCAAGUGUAGAGGUGAAAUUCGUAGAUAUUUGGAAGAACACCAGUGGCGAAAGCGGCUAACUGGCUCGUAUCUGACGCUGAGACGCGAAAGCGUGGGUAGCAAACAGGAUUAGAUA
This 279-nucleotide ribosomal RNA is filed under the name uncultured bacterium. RNAcentral describes it as "partial 16S ribosomal RNA". It matches the Rfam family "Bacterial small subunit ribosomal RNA", at positions 506 to 784 of the family's 1533-position model. The record is from RNAcentral.